UAAGUCCCGCAACGAGCGCAACCCUUAUCUUCAGUUGCCCUUAUUAAGUUAGGCACUCUGGAGAGACUGCCGGUGAUAAACCGGAGGAAGGUGGGGAUGACGUCAAGUCCUCAUGGCCCUUAUGGGCUGGGCUACACACGUGCUACAAUGGCAACUACAACGGGCAGCAAUGGCGCGAGCCGGAGCGAAUCCCUGAAAAGUUGUCUCAGUUCGGAUUGUUCUCUGCAACUCGAGAGCAUGAAGUCGGAAUCGCUAGUAAUCGCAGAUCAGCGUGCUGCGGUGAAUACGUUCCCGGGCCUU
RNAcentral lists this ribosomal RNA (300 nucleotides) under uncultured bacterium. RNAcentral describes it as "bacterial SSU rRNA". It matches the Rfam family "Bacterial small subunit ribosomal RNA", at positions 1081 to 1382 of the family's 1533-position model. The record is from RNAcentral.